CUCCACCAGGUACUGUUUUGAGGGGAGGGGCGGGGGCGUUGUGGAAUAAGUCUAUUGUUGAGAUUUUAAUAAUCAUUUAAACUUCAUCUGUUCAGUAUAUUUUCUUUUUUUGUUGAGUUCCUCUUCUUUUUGCCUUUCCCCUCUCCCUAAAUUUUCUGUAUGUAUUUUUAACUUGUAUUUAUUGCUGCUUUUGCAGAUUGUGAGUGGAAGGCACAGG
Molecule: unclassified non-coding RNA, 217 nt
Filed under: Hevea brasiliensis (rubber tree)
Lineage: Eukaryota; Viridiplantae; Streptophyta; Magnoliopsida; Malpighiales; Euphorbiaceae
Source: RNAcentral